This 113-nucleotide non-coding RNA is filed under the name Clostridium colicanis DSM 13634. Its description in RNAcentral is "SAM riboswitch aptamer (S box leader)". It matches the Rfam family "SAM riboswitch aptamer (S box leader)". From Rfam's summary of the family: The SAM riboswitch is found upstream of a number of genes which code for proteins involved in methionine or cysteine biosynthesis in Gram-positive bacteria. The SAM riboswitch acts at the level of transcription termination control. The record is from Rfam by way of RNAcentral. Lineage: Bacteria; Bacillati; Bacillota; Clostridia; Eubacteriales; Clostridiaceae.
AUCUUAUCAAGAGUGGUUGAGGGACUGGCCCUAUGAAACCCGGCAACAGCUAUCUUAAUUCAUUAAGAUAGAAAUGUGCUAAUUCCUGCAGGAGUUUUCCUGAAAGAUAAGAA